AGUGAACGCUGGCGGUAGGCCUAACACAUGCAAGUCGAACGGCAGCACAGUAAGAGCUUGCUCUUACGGGUGGCGAGUGGCGGACGGGUGAGGAAUACAUCGGAAUCUACUUUUUCGUGGGGGUUAACGUAGGGAAACUUACGCUAAUACCGCAUACGACCUACGGGUGAAAGCAGGGGAUCUUCGGACCUUGCGCGAUUGAAUGAGCCGAUGUCGGAUUAGCUAGUUGGCGGGGUAAAGGCCCACCAAGGCGACGAUCCGUAGCUGGUCUGAGAGGAGGAUCAGCCACACGGGAACUGAGACACGGUCCAGACUCCUACGGGAGGCAGCAGUGGGGAAUAUUGGACAAUGGGCGCAAGCCUGAUCCAGCCAUACCGCGUGUGUGAAGAAGGCCUUCGGGUCGUAAAGCCCUUUUGUUGGGAAAGAAAAGCAGCAGGUUAAUACCCCGCUGUUCUGACGGUACCCAAAGAAUAAGCACCGGCUAACUUCGUG
RNAcentral lists this ribosomal RNA (492 nucleotides) under uncultured bacterium. RNAcentral's name for it is "partial 16S ribosomal RNA". It matches the Rfam family "Bacterial small subunit ribosomal RNA", at positions 29 to 507 of the family's 1533-position model. The record is from RNAcentral.